This is an RNA transcript of Cydia pomonella (codling moth), 4613 nucleotides long. It is a transcript of the gene named prolactin-releasing peptide receptor-like, with no coding region annotated. The transcript has 3 exons. Lineage: Eukaryota; Metazoa; Arthropoda; Insecta; Lepidoptera; Tortricidae. The record is from RefSeq and is a predicted model, not a curated record.
GUAUAAGAAAACCUCACGUGUAUUUUUCUAUGGCGAAACUAAAAAAAAAAUAUCUACCACAUACUUUUACUCGGUUUUGUUUAACAUAAAUCUUCACUUGGCACUUCUAAAUAGCGAGUCUAAACAAAAUUUACUCUACACAAUACUAUUUAUCUUAAAAUUAGGUCGAAUGAAAAAAAUAAUAAAAAAAUACACGUGAGGUCAUGUGGGGGAGGGGGUUCACCAAAUAUCACCAAGGGAGAGGGGGCGUCAAAAAAGUAGCCGAAAAAACCUCGCGUGAUUUGUGCACAAGCCCUUCGAUGUCUUUUAUCUUUUCCUGUUUUGUACCUACGCUUAUAGAAUACCCCCCUCAGUUCGAGACGCAGGAUUCACUGCACGUCCAUAGUGCAUCCAAGCGUCUCAAGAUGUGCACCACAGGGAAGUUACUCGUACUGGGCUCGAAUUACCGGCGUUAAACCUCAGCGUCGUAGCUCGUAAAACUGACAAUUCCAGGCUGGCACUGAAUAACAAUCGGCCUCCGACUCGAAAUGAACUGGACGCACAAUUAUACACUCGGAGAAAAUUUAGUUAAAGCUAGAAACACCUCUCACUUCAUAGAGAACAUCAUCGACAACAAAUGGGUCCAAAGCGGCUUUUGCAUCUUCUACACCAUCAUCUUCGUCCUCGGCCUUCUCGGCAACCUCCUCGUCUGCUUCGUCGUCAUUCGAAACAAAGCCAUGCAGACCGUCACCAAUCUAUUCAUUACCAAUCUAGCCUUGUCUGACAUACUACUCUGCAUAUUUGCCGUCCCGUUCACUCCGCUCUACUCCUUCCGAGGCACGUGGGGCUGGGGCAGUAUCUUAUGUCACAUAAUGCCUUUUGCACAAGGUUGCAGCGUAUACAUAUCUACAUUGACACUUAUGUCUAUAGCUAUCGAUAGAUUCUUCGUGAUUAUUUAUCCGUUCAGGCCAAGAAUGAAGAUAGGGACGUGCGUCACCGUUAUAUUUAUGAUCUGGACUUUUGCCGUCACUGUGACAAUGCCUUACGCUUUAUUUAUGACUUAUUAUGAAGUUCCUGGUGUCGGGAAGUAUUGUGAGGAAAUGUGGCCCUCUGAAGAGCUUAGACAAGUGUUCGGCUCCAUAACUUCUAUCAUGCAAUUUGUACUACCUUUUAUCGUCAUCGCUUUCUGCUAUACGUGUGUCAGUUUCAAACUGAACGAUAGAGCCAAAGCUAAAGCAGCUGCAAAGAACUCCCGUAAAGAAGAGAUAGAUAAGAACAGAAAACGUCGAACGAACCAGAUGUUGAUCGCGAUGGUGACUAUCUUCGGCCUGUCGUGGCUUCCUCUCAACGUCAUAAACUUAUGCAAUGACUAUUAUAAAUACGCUAUCCAUUUGAAGUAUUACUUGGUGACAUUUUUCAUCUGUCACGGCAUAGCUAUGUCGUCAACAUGUUACAAUCCAUUCAUUUACGCGUGGAUGAAUGAGAAUUUCCGUAAGGAGUUUAAGCAGUUGAUUCCUUGCAUGGAUACGUCAGCUCACUUAAGGGCUAAUAUUCAGUUGGAUCCGAUGGGCCCCUCGGAGAAAACGUUUAAUGGGAACACGACUACUGAUAGUUACUUGGGGUCUAGUUCUCAGAGGGGGACGUCGUUUAGGAAUAAGAGGAAGCCGAGUGCGGCAGCGGAUGUGGAGAGGAGCGGAGUGGAGCUGAAUGAGGACCUGCUGACGGUGGACGUGAAGCACUGCCACAUCUCGACGAGCUACAACCUGCGCCGGGAGUCUGUGAAGCUGCGGCUUAUCAACGAGGAGUCAUUUGAUGGCACGCCGCCCCAGAGUCAAUUCUAACGCUUGAUUUCUUGGGUAAACAUUACAUUGCAAACGAUAAUUUAAAACAACUUUUGCCUUACAUUUAAUGUCAAACCUUUUCAACCAUUCCCCAUAUGCAUUUUGAAUAAUGAUUAACAGAGUACAUUACCUUAAGAUAACAGGUACUUUAAUCAACGAUGCUCAGAAAAAUGUUUGACACAAUCUAACGUGUAAAUAUAAAAUCGUAACAUAUAUAUUGCGUACUUCUUGAAUACAAUCUUCUUGGAAUAUAUUAAAUAUCCUGUAAUAACAGUGUCCUGUACAUGUAAGUAGUAAGUAGUGUAACUCAAAAUGCUCGAAUGCAUUCUAAAGAUUGCCAAUAAUUCGAACUUAUGGUACCUCUCAUACCUAGCGAUGUUUUCGCCAAAGUCAAUAACAGGCAUCGCCAACGACCCAAACCCAAUUUCCCCAGUGUGUAUUUUUGUGAACUAAUAACAAGUUUUGCCUCCAUUUGCCAACAGCCAGUUUCAAAAGUUCCCCCAAUUGAAUUUUUAUCAGUUUAUUAAAUUAAUUCUGUUUUGCAGGUGCGGCGGUGGCGGCGUGCCCAUUUUUAAGCAUAGCAAUGACAUAGAGAAUUAAGUAAGCAUAGAAUGUUCUCUCCAUAAAUCAAUUUUCUUAUCAAAAUGUUUAUUAUUUUCGUAAUCGACAUCUAGCGUCAAGUAGCGGUUUUAUCAGUAUUGCUACUUGACAAUAGAUGUCGUGACGACGUAACGAACGGGAAGUAAUAUUAGUUGUAAAUUGUUGAGCUUUUAUACACUUGUCGUCAGUCGCGACACUCGUGACAUCUAGUGUCAAGUAGCGGUACUUGACGCUAGAUGUUGACUACGAAAAUAAUAAGCAUUUUGGCAAGAAAACUGAAGUACGGAGUGAGCACCCUAUAGAGUUAACAAUAUUUUUGGAGUAAGAUUUUCUGACAUUUUUGGACUACACAAAUUUAUGGACAACUACAUGACGCUUAUGAAAUGUAUGUUAAGGUAUAAACGUGAUAUUUUUUUCAUUUCUACCAAUGUAAUAUUGUCAGGAGAAAAUACUUGAAUAAGUAUAUUAAAUCUGUUCGAUUUUACGAAGUAGGUUAUAGCAAAAACAGAUUUUAAUUUAUAGUCUGGCCAAUCAUUCGUGUCAGUAGGAGAGCAGUUAAAAUAUAUAUAGUCAUCCCUUUCUUUUUGGUGGUAGAUACUUCUUAUAAUUAGGAAAGAUUCUUCUUUCCUCUUUAGUCACCUUUAGUUGGCCAAACUAUAUAAUUAAAGUAUUUAUCAGAAUUAAAUUAAAUGUAUUUUGGUAAUGCAUAGUUAAGGUAACGUCCCAAUUAUCGUUCAAAAACAAAUAAAAACGCUUAUAAAAGUGUAAUAAAAAGAAAUCAUAAGAAUAGAGUAGGAAGUAGGGUCUUUUAUUGUUAUUCCUGUAGUAAUUGGGUAGAUUCGGUGUUUUCUGUUUAUUUUUGACGUUCUCGUGGAAAGGGACUUACGCAAAUUUGUUUAUAUUUACCCCUUUAAGGAAUAUGUAAUUCAAAUUAGAAAGUAAGAAUGAAAUCGUUAUGAUUCCGUAAUUGGAUGUUGCUUUAAAUAUUUUGUAUUUUAAAUAAAUAAAUAUUAAAGGACAUUAUUACACAAAGUCCCACAGUAAGCUCAAUAAGGCUUGUAUUGAGGGUACUCAGACAACGAUAUAUAUAAUAUAUAAAUAAUUAAAAAUACUUAAAUACAUAGAAAACACCCAUGACCCAGGAACAAAUAUCCAUGCUCAUCACACGAAUAAAUGCCCUUACCAGGAUUUGAACCCGGGACCAUCAGCUUCGUAGGCAGGGUCACUACCCACUAGGCCAAACCGGUCGUCAAUUUUAUAACUAGCAAGUGGAAUAAAUUACCAGAAGCAGUGAUGAAUGCUCCUUCACUGAACAGUUUUAACAACAGACAAACUUUGAUAAACAUUUAAAAUUAUCACAACGAACAUUAAUCGUAUGAAAAAAAACAAGUGCAGUGCACACAGCAGAUUCCAGCUGCUAGUGUAUCAAACAAUAUAAUAAUAACUCUGUCUAUGUAAAGCAUAAUAUAUAUGUAUUUGUAGGUCGUACUGAAGAUCUUUUACCUUGGGGCUCACCCUGUCAAAUAAAAAAUGGCUGAUUCAGCACGUUCUAUCAAGUCGAAGUUUUCAACAGACAGCCAAAAAAUAAUUUCGGGUUCGAGAAGUGGAAUUUUGAGCGUUGCGAGGGUUCCAAUGCACGAGGGUUAAACAAAAUUUGCCUCCGAGUGAAACACAAAAUUUUUCACCACACCAACACGAGGAAACUACUAACUAUGAAAUACCAAAAAAUUCAAAUGAGAUCAAGUCCAAAUGAACGUAAUAAAAAAAUAAUCAUUCAAAAUCAUCAUUUAAAAGUCAAUUCUACUAACUAACAUAAGGAAACAACUCAAAAUUUGCAUCUGAUCACUUUGCCCCAAAUGUGGAUAAAAUGCAACUUUCUCAUUCGUUUUUGAACAAACACGAGGUUUCACCACAACGACUGGUAAAGGCCCUCUUGAUUGUUCAAAAACGAAUGAAGACUAUAUUAGUUAUGCAGGAUAAAUUAAAAACAUUGUCAAAGUCCCUUUUCCGAGAGAAGUCGAUAGUAUUUCGCGGUAUAGCUGCAGUUAGACUCGCCAACUACACCUCCAAUUUUCAAACUGCCGUGCUAUGCCAAACCAUAAUAAUAAUAAUAAAAUUCUUUAUUGCACACUUCAUAAAAAAAAGAUACAGAAAUUGAGAAAAUAUAUAAAUUGGUAAGUCACAACAGAAUAU